RNAcentral lists this ribosomal RNA (392 nucleotides) under uncultured bacterium. Its description in RNAcentral is "bacterial SSU rRNA". It matches the Rfam family "Bacterial small subunit ribosomal RNA", at positions 29 to 426 of the family's 1533-position model. The record is from RNAcentral.
AUUGAACGCUGGCGGCAUGCCUUACACAUGCAAGUCGAGCGGCAGCGCGGGGGCAACCCUGGCGGCGAGCGGCGGACGGGUGAGUAAUGCAUCGGAACGUGUCCUCUUGUGGGGAUAACCAGUCGAAAGACUGGCUAAUACCGCAUGAGCUCGUAAGAGGAAAGCAGGGGACCCGCAAGGGCCUUGCGCGAGAGGAGCGGCCGAUGCCCGAUUAGCUAGUUGCGGGGUAAAAGCCCACCAAGGCGACGAUCGGUAGCUGGUCUGAGAGGACGACCAGCCACACUGGGACUGAGACACGGCCCAGACUCCUACGGAGGCAGCAGUGGGGAAUUUUGGACAAUGGGGAAACCCGUGAUCCAGCCAUGCCGCGUGUGUGAAGAAGGCCUGGUUGU